RNAcentral lists this ribosomal RNA (243 nucleotides) under Triticum aestivum (bread wheat). Its description in RNAcentral is "partial small subunit ribosomal RNA". Lineage: Eukaryota; Viridiplantae; Streptophyta; Magnoliopsida; Poales; Poaceae. The record is from RNAcentral.
GAGGGGGAAAGUUUCUUUGGAGUGGGUGUCUGGAAUAUACAAAGAAUUUGGAAGAAAGCGAUGGAGCAAAUUGCUAAAGGUCUAGAGGUAGAUGUUUCAAGUUAGAGGAAAGGAAAUUGUGGAAGAAAGCCGAAAGACAUCAAUCUAGAGCAAAUCCCUACCAUCCCACCGAACAGGAGGUCUACUAUCAGGUCACUUGCUUGGCAACUCCAGUGCAGCCCUACGACACUCCACCGGAAGUUC